GGAAAAUAGGCAUGGUGCUUUCUGCUGCAGGAGGCUGCCUCACAAGUCCUUUCCCAGCCCAGAUAUGUAUUGAGUGUCAAGUUGGCCACUGACAAUUUACGCUUUUCUGCAGAAGAGCUUUGGGAUGUGCCUUGGCUGUUGAUUUUCAGUGGCAGAAGCUCAUGGCUUUCAGCUCUAACCUUCAGAAUUUGCUGCUAGUGGACAACAGCCUCAUCACAGUCAGCAAAUACGCAGGAGCUAGAGCUCUUGCAAGGCACUGGUGAGGAUCAGAGCCUUGGAGGUAACUUCAUUCUCCAGCACACUCUGAUGCUGCCUGAUCUGUGAACAUCUGUGAUUCUCCAGAUUGUCAGACUUUCAGAGAUGGAGUGUUGUCUGGGUAGUUCAUAGUCAUCCUGUGACUGACAGACACCACCAAGUCCACCUCUUCUGUCACCAGCCAGUUUACAUGUCCUAGCAAGUUGUCAUCAGAAGCAGCUACUAAAUCCUGCAACCAUCAUGAAUACCUACAUAGUACUGACCUCAUGUUUCUGAGGAUUCCACAAGCUGUAAGAAGAAACCCUUGUGAAUGCAGACUCCCAUCCCCUCUGGAAAGUCUGGAAGAAUUUCAUACAGAGUUCAAACGCCAGCAAUUUCCAGUACCAUCUUUCCUCAUCUCCUCGUUACGAGCAGGGUUUCAUUACCUGUGGAACAGCCAGUGCCUGCUCGCCAGCAUCAGCAUUGUCCCCAGAGCCCUCCUGUGAUGGCUGUCGCUCUUUCAUGGUGGGCAGGGACAUGUGGCUCUGCAUCGUUACCAGCAAACGGAGACGCUGCAGGUUCAUUAUCAGAGAAGAGUGUCACGUUUUUUUUUUUUUUUCCUUUUUUUUUUUUUUUCAAAUGGCAUUUCCUCUCAAGCUCGGCAUGGCAGCAACUGUCUUGUGAAUCCUGAGUACCUGCAACCCGACAGUGUUGGCCAAUGUGUUUCAGCAGGGAAUUAAAUUAUGAUUUUUUUUUUUUUUUUUUUUUGGAGAGAGGCUGCUGAAUUCUUUUGAAGCAAAAAUAUCAUUUCCUGGAUGGAGCACACUACGUUGAGUCCUAAAGGGCUUUGUGAAGUUGCUUGGAUAAAAGCUUCUGAUGGUGUUGGCUUGCCAAUGGAUUAAUCAUAAUGUGGAGAAGCUAAAACCCAUCCCAAACUAUGAGAUGCUGAGAGAUUCUCGUAUUUAGCCAGCCUACAGACUGAUGCUUCUGACUUGUACAAAAGCACACUGUUAGACUGCAGGAGCGGUCACUGAUGAAAAAUAACAUUCCCACCAUGCAGUUUUGACAGCUACAUCUCACUGUCGUGCUCUUUUCAACCCGGUGAGGACAGCUGAGUGCCACAAACCUGCUCUGGAGCAGCGUUUGCCGUGGGUAGGGCGAGCACGCAGGUAGCAUCAGCCAGGUUCAUGCACGCUGAGAGCUGUGGGUGCUGUGGUAGCGGCAGGCAUGUGGGGGAAGCUCUGCUGGUUGGUGAAUUUCAUUAAAAAUCUGAGAUGUCUAUGCACACAGCCUUAUUCACAGUUUUUUCUGUAUUGUGAUUUUAGGAUAUAACAAGGUGUUAACAAGAAAAACAUGUUUUCAUUAAAGCUGUAUACAAAAUGUAUCUUUGCCCUGAGCCCUUCUGUGUGUUUAUUUUUCUGAAACAGUCUGUUCCUUAAAGAAACAAACAAAAACUGAAGCAGGGGAAGAAACUUUUUCCUUCCCACGGGAGGGCCCAUUUCCACCACCCCACUUUGAUUCCCAUCGGUGGCAGGUCAUGGGCUGCCAGGUGGUCCAGGCCGGCCCAGGUUAGCACCGUGCCUCACCUCACCUGUGGGGUUCAUUUUGCUAAGCUGUUGUAAACAUUUUGCUCUGCUUUCCU
This 1876-nucleotide long non-coding RNA is filed under the name Anas platyrhynchos platyrhynchos (common mallard). Its description in RNAcentral is "lncRNA (ENSAPLG00000028521.1)". The record is from RNAcentral. Lineage: Eukaryota; Metazoa; Chordata; Aves; Anseriformes; Anatidae.